UGCCUAAUAGCUCAGUUGGUAAAGCUUGAGGCUUGUGAUCUCAGGGUUGUGGGUUCGAACCCCACGUUGGGCAA
Podarcis raffonei (Aeolian wall lizard) is the source of this 74-nucleotide non-coding RNA. NCBI's taxonomy places the organism in Eukaryota, Metazoa, Chordata, Lepidosauria, Squamata, Lacertidae. The record is from the annotation of a RefSeq genome assembly.